This 68-nucleotide transfer RNA is filed under the name Terriglobus roseus DSM 18391. Its description in RNAcentral is "tRNA-Asn". Lineage: Bacteria; Pseudomonadati; Acidobacteriota; Terriglobia; Terriglobales; Acidobacteriaceae. The record is from RNAcentral.
UUCGAGUCGUACAGCGCUGUCGGCUGUUAACCGAAGGGUUGUAGGUUCGAGUCCUACCUGCGGAGCCA